AUGGCGCCGCCUUGCCUCCAUGGCCACCGGAGCCAUGCCCCUUCGCCGUCGUGUCGCCUUGCUUCGCCUCCUGCCUCCCGCAUGCCCCGCUGGGAGCGUGUGUGCCCGCGUCCAGCGCCUCCCGCUCGCUCCGCCACGGCCUCCUCGACGUGGUCGAGCCCGACCAGCACCCUCUCGUCGGUGAACCUCCGCCGCACGCUUCCCUCCGUCCUGACCAUCACCUCCCCGACGCCCUUGCUGCUGCUGCUAGACCACCGUCGCCUCCGUGCUGCUGGCAUCCCGAGGCCUUGUGAUUGUGUUGCUUCGUUUUGGUUGCCCCAAGAUUCUCUCCGACAAGUGUACAGCUAUCCGGUGAUGCGCGAAGUACCCCUUGGAUCGUCAAGUUCGACUACACGAAACCGCCAAGUACCACUACGAUUGCCGUGUACUUCUACGGACGCCAAGCCCGGAACAACAAGUACCCCGACAACGUGGGUAACUAGCGUCAACCCCGUGGACGUCAAGUACCUCUACCGACGACCCCGAACAUUUACGAAAACGUGUACCACUACCGUCGCCGUGUACCACUACUUCCCUCGGCGACCCGUGAACAACUACUCCCACUACCGUCAAACCCGAGCCACUCCGAAAAUGCACGCUUCGAAGCUUCGGUUUCGUUCCGAAGUUGUGAGGAUUCGUUCGACUACAUCCGCUUGUCUUCUUCAUGGACUCGUUCUUCUUCCUUGCGGGAUCUCAGGCAAGAUGACCAUACCCUCGAAAUCACUUCUAUCUUUGCUUGCUAGUUGUUCGCUCUAUUGCUAUGCAGCGCUACCUACCACAUGCUAUUUCAUGCCUCCCAUAUUGCCAUGA
Molecule: ribosomal RNA, 849 nt
Filed under: Triticum aestivum (bread wheat)
Lineage: Eukaryota; Viridiplantae; Streptophyta; Magnoliopsida; Poales; Poaceae
Description: partial small subunit ribosomal RNA
Source: RNAcentral